RNAcentral lists this unclassified non-coding RNA (224 nucleotides) under uncultured bacterium. Its description in RNAcentral is "contains 16S-23S intergenic spacer region". The record is from RNAcentral.
UCCGAGUUGACCCCGGCAGCUUGCAGUAGCAUGUCAAGCCCUGGUAAGGUUCUUCGCGUUGCAUCGAAUUAAGCCACAUGCUCCACCGCUUGUGCGGGCCCCCGCCAAUUCCUUUGAGUUUCAACCUUGCGGCCGUAGUCCCCAGGCGGUUCACUUAAUGCGUUAGCUGCGGCACCGAGGGAAACCCCCGACACCUAGUGAACAUAGUUUAGGGCCAAGACUAC